RNAcentral lists this ribosomal RNA (422 nucleotides) under uncultured bacterium. Its description in RNAcentral is "bacterial SSU rRNA". It matches the Rfam family "Bacterial small subunit ribosomal RNA", at positions 355 to 774 of the family's 1533-position model. The record is from RNAcentral.
UAAGGAAUAUUGGUCAAUGGAGGGAACUCUGAACCAGCCAUGCCGCGUGCAGGAAGACGGCCCUCUGGGUUGUAAACCGCUUUUGUUCGGGAAUAAACCUAUUUACGUGUAAAUAGCUGAAUGUACCGAAGGAAUAAGGAUCGGCUAACUCCGUGCCAGCAGCCGCGGUAAUACGGAGGGUCCAAGCGUUAUCCGGGUUUAUUGGGUUUAAAGGGUGCGUAGGCGGCUUAUUAAGUCAGGGGUGAACGACGGUGGCUCAACCAUCGCAGUGCCCUUGAUACUGAUGAGCUUGAAUGGACUAGAGGUAGGCGGAAUGUGACAAGUAGCGGUGAAAUGCAUAGAUAUGUCACAGAACACCGAUUGCGAAGGCAGCUUACUAUGGUUUAAUUGGCGCUGAGGCACGAAAGCGUGGGGCUCAAACA